UUCAAUUUUUAACUCUUCGUUUUAUUUAAAUUUUUUUACGAUUGAUAUUUUUGUUUUUAUUAGAUGAUAAAUCAUGAAUAAUACUUUAUGUGUGACUAUUUUUUUCUAAUUUUUUCAAAAAAUUUUAAAUAAGACGAUGGUCAAACGUUGGACACGGAAACC
RNAcentral lists this microRNA precursor (162 nucleotides) under Oryza brachyantha (malo sina). RNAcentral describes it as "MIR812 microRNA precursor family". It matches the Rfam family "MIR812 microRNA precursor family", at positions 27 to 189 of the family's 205-position model. Lineage: Eukaryota; Viridiplantae; Streptophyta; Magnoliopsida; Poales; Poaceae. The record is from Rfam by way of RNAcentral.